CGCAUGAUCAGNCUUUUAAAAGGCGGCGUAAGCUGUCGCUAUGGGAUGGCCCCGCGGUGCAUUAGCUAGUUGGUAAGGUAAAGGCUUACCAAGGCGAUGAUGCAUAGCCGAGUUGAGAGACUGAUCGGCCACAUUGGGACUGAGACACGGCCCAAACUCCUACGGGAGGCAGCAGUAGGGAAUCUUCCACAAUGGACGCAAGUCUGAUGGAGCAACGCCGCGUGAGUGAAGAAGGUUUUCGGAUCGUAAAGCUCUGUUGUUGGUGAAGAAGGAUAGAGGUAGUANCUGGCCUUUAUU
Molecule: ribosomal RNA, 297 nt
Filed under: uncultured bacterium
Lineage: Bacteria
Description: partial 16S ribosomal RNA
Rfam family: Bacterial small subunit ribosomal RNA
Source: RNAcentral